UGAGGAAUAUUGGUCAAUGGACGAGAGUCUGAACCAGCCAAGUAGCGUGAAGGAUGACUGCCCUAUGGGUUGUAAACUUCUUUUAUACGGGAAUAAAGUGAGGCACGUGUGCCUUUUUGUAUGUACCGUAUGAAUAAGGAUCGGCUAACUCCGUGCCAGCAGCCGCGGUAAUACGGAGGAUCCGAGCGUUAUCCGGAUUUAUUGGGUUUAAAGGGAGCGUAGGCGGACGCUUAAGUCAGUUGUGAAAGUUUGCGGCUCAACCGUAAAAUUGCAGUUGAUACUGGGUGUCUUGAGUACAGUAGAGGCAGGCGGAAUUCGUGGUGUAGCGGUGAAAUGCUUAGAUAUCACGAAGAACUCCGAUUGCGAAGGCAGCUUGCUGGACUGUAACUGACGCUGAUGCUCGAAAGUGUGGGUAUCAAACAGGAUUAGAUACCCUGGUAGUCCACACAGUAAACGAUGAAUACUCGCUGUUUGCGAUAUACAGUAAGCGGCCAAGCGAAAGCGUUAAGUAUCCCACCUGGGGAGUACGCCGGCAACGGUGAAACUCAAAGGAAUUGACGGGGGCCCGCACAAGCGGAGGAACAUGUGGUUUAAUUCGAUGAUACGCGAGGAACCUUACCCGGGCUUGAAUUGCAGACGAAUUGCUUGGAAACAGGCAAGCCGCAAGGCGUCUGUGAAGGUGCUGCAUGGUUGUCGUCAGCUCGUGCCGUGAGGUGUCGGCUUAAGUGCCAUAACGAGCGCAACCCUCGUGUCCAGUUACUAGCAGGUUAUGCUGAGGACUCUGGACAGACUGCCAUCGUAAGAUGUGAGGAAGGUGGGGAUGACGUCAAAUCAGCACGGCCCUUACGUCCGGGGCUACACACGUGUUACAAUGGGGGGUACAGCAGGCAGCUACCGGGCGACCGGAUGCCAAUCCCGAAAGCCUCUCUCAGUUCGGACUGGAGUCUGCAACCCGACUCCACGAAGCUGGAUUCGCUAGUAAUCGCGCAUCAGCCACGGCGCGGUGAAUACGUUCCC
Molecule: ribosomal RNA, 1017 nt
Filed under: uncultured bacterium
Lineage: Bacteria
Description: bacterial SSU rRNA
Rfam family: Bacterial small subunit ribosomal RNA
Source: RNAcentral